RNAcentral lists this ribosomal RNA (564 nucleotides) under uncultured bacterium. RNAcentral's name for it is "bacterial SSU rRNA". It matches the Rfam family "Bacterial small subunit ribosomal RNA", at positions 359 to 917 of the family's 1533-position model. The record is from RNAcentral.
GAUUGCGNAUGGCCUGACGGCUGACGCAGCAACGCCGCGUGACCGAUGAAGCUCUAAGGAGUGUAAAGGUCUGUUAGAAGGGAAGAAAAGUUCAGACGCAAAUAAUUUCUGGACCUGACGGUACCUUCAGAGAAAGCUCCGGCCAACUCCGUGCCAGCAGCCGCGGUAAUACGGGGGGAGCAAGCGUUGUCCGGAAUCACCGGGCGUAAAGGGCGUGUAGGUGGAGCUGUAAGUCAGGAGUGAAAUUUGUUGGCUUAACCAACAAACUGCUUUUGAUACUGCGGUUCUUGAGUAAGACAGAGGAAAGUGGAAUUCCUGGUGUAGCGGUGAAAUGUGUAGAUAUCAGGAAGAACACCAGCAGCGAAGGCGGCUUUCUGGGUCUUUACUGACACUGAAACGCGAAAGCGUGGGGAGCAAACAGGAUUGGAUACCCUGGUAGUCCACGCCUUAAACUAUGAGCACUAGGUGUUGGAGGAUUUGACCCCUUCAGUGCCGAAGCUAACGCAUUAAGUGCUCCGCCUGGGGAGUACGAUCGCAAGGUUGAAACUCAAAGAAAUUGACGGA